Molecule: ribosomal RNA, 406 nt
Filed under: uncultured bacterium
Lineage: Bacteria
Description: partial 16S ribosomal RNA
Rfam family: Bacterial small subunit ribosomal RNA
Source: RNAcentral
AUUGAACGCUGGCGGCAGGCCUAACACAUGCAAGUCGAACGAGUGGCGGACGGGUGAGUAAUGUCUGGGAAACUGCCUGAUGGAGGGGGAUAACUCCUGGAAACGGUCGCUAAUCCCGCAUACCAUCAGAUGUGCCCAGCUGGGCUUAGCUUGUUGGUGGGGUAAGGGCUCACACAGGCGACGAUCCCUAGCUGGUCUGAGAGGAGGACCAGCCAGAAUGGAACUGAGACACGGUCCAGACUCCUACGGGAGGCAGCAGGGGGGAAUAUUGCACAAUGGGCGCAAGCCUGAUGGAGCCAUGCCGGGUGUAUGAAGAAGGCCUUCGGGUUGUAAAGUACUUUCAGCGGGGAGGCGUUACCCGCAGAAGAAGCACCGGCUAACUCCGUGCCAGCCGCCGCGGUAAUUC